GAUACUAUGGCAGAUUAGUGCAUUAGGUUUAAACCCUAAAUAUGGAUAACACCCUUUUAUCA
Molecule: transfer RNA, 62 nt
Filed under: Erpobdella sp. JP-2021
Lineage: Eukaryota; Metazoa; Annelida; Clitellata; Hirudinida; Erpobdellidae
Description: tRNA-Leu
Source: RNAcentral